GCGGUAACGGCAAACAGGAAACUUCAAUUCGCAUUUCAAGAUAAGUUCUACAAGUUUCCGAAGGUUUCGAUCUGCCGUAUUAAAAAACGUCAAUCAUAAGUCUUAACCUCGCUCUGGUUACAGUCCCUAUAAUAUAAAUUUAAUUAAUCGUAAACGAAAAAUUUCAGAGCAAACUACUCGAUAGCUUAUUUGUAAACAAGGAAAUAUGUUUACAGAAAUCUAGCCUGGAUCUAUUUGCUCAUGGAAUGAUGCGAUUUUGUAUGUAUCAAUUGAAAACAGUACGUAUAAUGCC
This is a non-coding RNA of Paramuricea clavata, 292 nucleotides long. NCBI's taxonomy places the organism in Eukaryota, Metazoa, Cnidaria, Anthozoa, Malacalcyonacea, Plexauridae. The record is from the annotation of a GenBank genome assembly.